AUCGCUUCUCGGCCUUUUGGCUAAGAUCAAGUAUAAAAUUAGGUUAAUGUUCAUAAAUUUAUUUUUUAAACUUAUUGAUAAAAUGUAUAUUAAUAGUUGUUUGUGUCACAAAGGUUCCAGGAAAGAAUUAUUCCCUGCUGAUAUCCAGCUUUAAUUGAGACAGGGAAACCUAUC
Small nuclear RNA from Macaca mulatta (Rhesus monkey), 174 nucleotides. Its record names the gene U2. It matches the Rfam family "U2 spliceosomal RNA". Rfam says of the family: U2 is a small nuclear RNA (snRNA) component of the spliceosome (involved in pre-mRNA splicing). The record is from Ensembl. Lineage: Eukaryota; Metazoa; Chordata; Mammalia; Primates; Cercopithecidae.